This 460-nucleotide ribosomal RNA is filed under the name uncultured bacterium. Its description in RNAcentral is "partial 16S ribosomal RNA". It matches the Rfam family "Bacterial small subunit ribosomal RNA", at positions 338 to 795 of the family's 1533-position model. The record is from RNAcentral.
CCUACGGGCGGCUGCAGUGAGGAAUAUUGGUCAAUGGACGAGAGUCUGAACCAGCCAAGUAGCGUGAAGGAUGACUGCCCUAUGGGUUGUAAACUUCUUUUAUAAAGGAAUAAAACGAGGCACGUGUGCCUUUUUGCAUGUACUUUAUGAAUAAGGAUCGGCUAACUCCGUGCCAGCAGCCGCGGUAAUACGGAGGAUCCGAGCGUUAUCCGGAUUUAUUGGGUUUAAAGGGAGCGUAGAUGGGUUGUUAAGUCAGUUGUGAAAGUUUGAGGCUCAACCGUAAAAUUGCAAUUGAUACUGGCAGUCUUGAGUACAGUUGAGGUAGGCGGAAUUCGUGGUGUAGCGGUGAAAUGCUUAGAUAUCACGAAGAACCCCGAUUGCGAAGGCAGCUUACUAACCUGUGACUGACAUUGAUGCUCGAAAGUGUGGGGAUCAAACAGGAUUAGAUACCCGGGUAGUC